Chrysemys picta bellii (western painted turtle) is the source of this 2862-nucleotide non-coding RNA. The record is from RefSeq and is a predicted model, not a curated record. Lineage: Eukaryota; Metazoa; Chordata; Testudines; Emydidae.
AUAGCUGCUCCCCAGGACAUUUAAAAGCUACCCUGCAUGACCACCCCAUUGCAAUUUAAAGAGUUAAUUGCUGGCCAAUUUGAGUGCCCUCUGAAAGGCACUGACAGUGCACUAAGGCAGUUUACAGAAUCUGGACUGCAGUGCUAAGCAAGUGGGUAAACAUUAAGCAGCUCCAAUAAUAAUGGCAAUAGAAUGAGAGGCAGUGACUUGAGAAUGAGCGUGCCACAAAUAGGUUGGCGUAAUUUCAAGUCACUAUAUUCCAGCCAUCUGGUGCUUGCACUUACAGCACCGGGCGAGUUUAAAAAGAAGCCCAUCUUAUAGAUUUCAAGACAGCUAGCCUGACUACUUGGGUUCAUUACACAAAGCUUUAGCAAAGUACUUGACAAAUUAAUUUCAGGCAAAACCAUACGGACAUAAGUAAAAUCUGUUCUUACCUACAAGCACAGUAAUAAAACCUUGCCUUCUGGAUCUGACUGCUAGUCCUAAGAGCAAGGAUCUUUACUCUUGUCUGCCUCCUUCGAUGGUCACUGAUACUCCACUCCCUCCUAGAGUGCAGAGCCUGCACCUGGCUUAUCUGUGUACACUGGACUCCACACACAAGUGUCUACUCUCUCUCAGCUGUAGAAGUGUCUGAACUCGAAGCCAUUCGUGCUAUGCUUGCUAGCAGCUCCUAGUAGCUCAACAUCUGCAUGUCUCCUGGAUCUUUAAGCUACUUAGUUCUUGGCUCCUGGAGUGCCUUCCUCUGUUGUGGUAUGCUACCAUGUCCUCAACGUUAUCAAGCCAUUGCCAAGAGUAUACUCCAUGAAUCCUGAGGUCUCUUGUCUCCCUCAAUAAGUUUAGGAUCCACCUGCUAUUGCAAACUCAGCCACAUAAAACCCAAUGGAACUAAAACUUUUUUUUUUUUGCAUUCCACAUUAAUACACUUCAUAAUCAUUCAGCUUAAGAGAUCUGUUAGAAAUAUGCCAACAUGAUUUAGAGACAGGCCUGCUUCAAACAGUUACCAUGGGGCUAAGUUGCUCUUUAUCAGAGAAUUGAGAUCACAAGUGAAUGCCUUCUGAUUUGAAAUACCAGAAAAAUAAGAACUGAGAGCUCUCAAUAACUCCCGUGAUCUGCAACGCAGCAAACGGAAGGAAACUAAAGCUAUAAUUUUAGGCAGCUGUAGGAAGCAGCAGCAGCACUCGUCUGCAUUAGAGGGCAACUGCAGAACGGAGAUUUUAUAUUCAUUUACAUUAGAAAGCUCAGGUCUUCACUGCGUUGGAGGCUCAGAACAGAAGGGGGUGCCAGUUCAGAGUUUUUAUCCCAACUACUUCAGCAGUUGGAAUUUAAACCUUUAACACAGGCAGUAAGAUUUUAAAUGUUCCUCAAAUUACAGGGCUUGUUCAUCCCACCUCAUCUCCAGCCCUCUCUUACACAUGCCAGCAAAGAUCUGAUAUUCCUAAUGAGGAGCAGUAGAAGCUUGUUUAAAUUUUGGGGCUAUCGCCUAAGGUCAGUUUCUUCCUCUGCAGUUCCCCUUUAAAACAGGCUGAGGCACUGUUAGUUACCAACCAGUUUAAAAAAGAGGGAGAUUCAGUUACAGCAGUUGGAUGUCUAUGUUUAUACACAGGUUUAAAACGGCAAUGGAAUCACACUGCAUCAGUCAGAAAAUGCCUCAGAUAUCAAGAGGCGACCGUUCGUUCAGACAACUUCUGCAGAACCCAGUCAGUGCUUAGAAGAGGCAGAGAUUAGAGUCUGAUUUCAGCAGUCUGAGAAACUGCAACUGUUUCUCAAAUACAGCUGCCAGCUUUGAGAAUCAACCCUUUUGCUGAGCACUUGUGUUAAAGAAAAAUGCAGUGCAACUUUCCCAGCACGAGGCCCAAGCCCAUCCAGUGUCACGAUUCUACCACAUUUAUGGUCCCGAUGCCACAGUCUAGCUGGUGGAAACAUUUAACAUAGGCAUCUGAGCUGGAUAGCUUUGCGAGAAACAAAAGUGCAGCUUGCUUUCAAAGUAACCCUGGAUCAACUCAGCUUUCCUUUAUCAUAACAGGUAAGAUUUCAUGGCCAACUAGACUGGUCUCCAUUAGUAUCUCCUGCCGCUUGCUGUGAAUUUGGGGUGUGGUUCUCAGCAGAGCUAGCCCCCUCCCCCCCCCCACUGCUAGAGCUGAGUUUUAAAAUUGCUCUUCCUUUUCCAAAAGUUGAAAAGGAGCUUUAGUUCCAAACUCUGCCAGCCAGUAGGAUUUGGUUAACUGGACAGAAGAUCCAUGCCAAUGAGAGUUAAUCCCCCUAACUUUGUGAGAUAGCCCAGGGACAGUUUUAUGGGAAAUUUUGGCUGGCAGGGACUAGUCCAUUACACUUCAGUUUACAGCCCUAGCUACUCAACAUCAACUGACUUUUGCUCUUGUAUAGAGCAGAAUCCUGAUAUACCUUGUCCAGGCAAGUUAAUCUUGUUUGAUGAGAAAGGAUUUACAUGGGUAUAUGCACCAUGCGAGGAAUUAGCCCCUUUUGUUUGCUGUAAGACAGUCUCUGGACCCAUCUACACUAGCAGACUUUGCAGCUGUAAUUCACCAACAGCUGCAUCUGUGGCAACUGAAGUACAGGAUACCCAAGUCCUGUCUACAAGGGUUACACAGAGGCAGCACAACUAAAUCUACAGAUUCCAUUGGUGGUUACAGCUGUGAAGUUGCUAAUACACAGCCUCUGGCAUUAAUAUUCAGGACUCAGCUCAGGAGUCCUGACAUUGCCCACAAACGACUGUUCCUGCCCAGUGACACUGCAGUGGACUAUUGCUGAGGUAUACCUGGUCUAGUUACAUGCAGGUACUGCAGCAUUCAUAUAGCUAGAAUGGCAUUCAAUUGACUUAUAUCAGACUAACUUACACAGCACAUU